Molecule: unclassified non-coding RNA, 197 nt
Filed under: uncultured fungus
Lineage: Eukaryota; Fungi
Description: sequence contains ITS1
Source: RNAcentral
GUAUAGAUUUCAUAGGCAUAUACAUUCUAUCGACAUACAUUGGGGUAAAUGAAACGACAUAGACCUGAAAAGGUCUACAAAAGGUGCACAGGUGGAGAUAUAAAAAUGACAAGGCGUGCACAUGCUCCCUAGAGAACCAGCAACAACCCAUCAGGUUUAUUUCAAUAAUGAUCCUUCCGCAGGUUCACCUACGGAAA